UGCCUUUAUGUGUUGCCCUUUCAUAGCUUCCUUAAUGAUCGGGGUGUCAAAUAAGGCAUACAGUGACACUUGUGACUGUUUUUUAAUAAACGAGUUUCUAGUGACUCAUUUAUACAAACAGCUGCAAGGACAUGU
Larimichthys crocea (large yellow croaker) is the source of this 135-nucleotide small nucleolar RNA. The record is from Ensembl. NCBI's taxonomy places the organism in Eukaryota, Metazoa, Chordata, Actinopteri, Sciaenidae.